UACGGGGGGGGCAAGCGUUGUUCGGAAUUACUGGGCGUAAAGGGUUUGUAGGUGGCUCGCUAAGUCAGACGUGAAAUCCCUCAGCUUAACUGGGGAACUGCGUCUGAGACUGGCGAGCUUGAGUGCAGGAGAGGAACGCGGAAUUCCAGGUGUAGCGGUGAAAUGCGUAGAUAUCUGGAGGAACACCGGUGGUGUAGACGGCUUACUGGACCAUAACUGACGCUGAGACACGAAAGCGUGGGUAGCAAACAGG
RNAcentral lists this ribosomal RNA (253 nucleotides) under uncultured bacterium. RNAcentral's name for it is "partial 16S ribosomal RNA". It matches the Rfam family "Bacterial small subunit ribosomal RNA", at positions 524 to 776 of the family's 1533-position model. The record is from RNAcentral.